Long non-coding RNA from Eriocheir sinensis (Chinese mitten crab), 418 nucleotides. RefSeq lists it as uncharacterized. NCBI's taxonomy places the organism in Eukaryota, Metazoa, Arthropoda, Malacostraca, Decapoda, Varunidae. The record is from RefSeq and is a predicted model, not a curated record. The transcript is spliced from 4 exons.
CGCCGUCCCACUUUUCGGCCCGCGGCAGAGUUUUCUCCUCCGUCGCUGCAGUGAUGCCAGGUCCGGGAAAUAGUUGAUGUGAGAGGCGGAAGCGUCUGAGAGUACCAACCCUCCGGCCCUCAGUCCUCACCGUGGAGAGAUGGACGACAGACUCACGUGGUCGGUGCAAGUAUAUCGACCAGACCCCUUGUCAGAGAAAGAAAACAGUGUAAUGUGUGCGUUGGUGAAAAAGUUCCUGAUCCAUCCAUCCAUCCAUCCAUCCACCCAGACAGACAGACGUAUAGACAUCCAAACACAUAGGAGUUUAAAGAUGGAGUGACGGUCAGACUUCCCAGGUGGACAAAGCAGGGCUUGGCGUCAGCUGGGCCUGGAUCUGUGCCUUCGCUGCCGCUCUAGACGCUGCAAAGGGCUGAGGGUG